Molecule: ribosomal RNA, 378 nt
Filed under: Staphylococcus aureus
Lineage: Bacteria; Bacillati; Bacillota; Bacilli; Caryophanales; Staphylococcaceae
Description: partial 23S ribosomal RNA
Rfam family: Bacterial large subunit ribosomal RNA
Source: RNAcentral
AAGGAUGUGGCGUUGCCCAGACAACUAGGAUGUUGGCUUAGAAGCAGCCAUCAUUUAAAGAGUGCGUAAUAGCUCACUAGUCGAGUGACACUGCGCCGAAAAUGUACCGGGGCUAAACAUAUUACCGAAGCUGUGGAUUGUCCUUUGGACAAUGGUAGGAGAGCGUUCUAAGGGCGUUGAAGCAUGAUCGUAAGGACAUGUGGAGCGCUUAGAAGUGAGAAUGCCGGUGUGAGUAGCGAAAGACGGGUGAGAAUCCCGUCCACCGAUUGACUAAGGUUUCCAGAGGAAGGCUCGUCCGCUCUGGGUUAGUCGGGUCCUAAGCUGAGGCCGACAGGCGUAGGCGAUGGAUAACAGGUUGAUAUUCCUGUACCACCUAUA